UACCGAACGCUUGUUUUCUUGUGGGUGCAACUAGUUCUCGCAGGCUGAAGCAGGAACCGAGUCUGAACAGUCAUAAGGUGAAAGGAGAAGGACCGGGGGGAAUCCAGCCCACUCUUCGCAGUGGGCUGGAAUCGUUUGAGGCGCAAGGAGUGGGAGUGAGGCAGGCUGGGAAAAAGGCCAGCUUUUGAGGCAAGAGAGUGGAGGAAGGGAACGCUUAAAGACGGACUCCCUGCGCCACUGCAGCCCCCUGUUUACCUCCACCCCUUCCUCUGGUCCAAUCAUGAUGCAGGCUGAAGACACAUUCUGCUGAAACCGUCAAUUCUUUGUGGAUUUGUAGGCCACAGAAAGACAGAUAGGGAGAGGGACGCCGAGCAGCAGAGGGAGAGGGAGAGGGAGACAGAGAGCAGUCUGUGAUCAAACAGGGCUUUGCCAGCUUCCUUAUUAUCUCUCGAAUGUUGCAUAACUCUUUGUAAUUAUUGGCACUCAGUCAAUUAUUCUUAGGUCCUGAAUUUUUUUUUUUUUAAAGUUACUAAAAAAACAAACAAAGGCGGUAAUAAUAAUUAAAUGUAAUAUUACUUUGAGACACAAGGGGGCAAGAUAAGACAUUUUCUUCAGGGAUAGUGGACUCCUCUCUCACACCUGCAGUGUGCUUAGGUCCCCGAGUCCUUUGAUGUCAUGAGAAUAUAAAUGAUAUUUUUAUUACUGUGGCUGUGUGGACUCUCAGUGGCGCGACUUGUUAACCACAAAGAUGAUUUAGAGGAGUGAGACUGACUGAGAUUGAGAUGUGAAUAUUUUUUGUUUCUAUUUGGUUGUUGUGUAUCUUUUCUGCUUUUAUUUUGUAAUCUUCUUCCUUUACCCUCUUCAAUUAAAUGAUUGGUUUCUCCUUGGGUGCAGUCUU
This is a long non-coding RNA of Mugil cephalus (flathead mullet), 898 nucleotides long. RefSeq lists it as uncharacterized. The record is from RefSeq and is a predicted model, not a curated record. The transcript is spliced from 2 exons. Lineage: Eukaryota; Metazoa; Chordata; Actinopteri; Mugiliformes; Mugilidae.